GCCGGCCUAGCUCAAUUGGUAGAGCAACUGACUUGUAAUCAGUAGGUUGGGGGUUCAAAUCCUCUGGCCGGCACCA
Molecule: transfer RNA, 76 nt
Filed under: Staphylococcus aureus
Lineage: Bacteria; Bacillati; Bacillota; Bacilli; Caryophanales; Staphylococcaceae
Also listed under: 4 other names
Description: tRNA-Thr
Rfam family: tRNA
About the family: Transfer RNA (tRNA) molecules are approximately 80 nucleotides in length. Their secondary structure includes four short double-helical elements and three loops (D, anti-codon, and T loops).
Source: RNAcentral